Molecule: ribosomal RNA, 497 nt
Filed under: uncultured bacterium
Lineage: Bacteria
Description: partial 16S ribosomal RNA
Rfam family: Bacterial small subunit ribosomal RNA
Source: RNAcentral
GAUGAACGCUGGCGGCGUGCCUAAUACAUGCCAGUCGAGCGAACGGACGAGAAGCUUGCUUCUCUGAUGUUAGCGGCGGACGGGUGAGUAACACGUGGAUAACCUACCUAUAAGACUGGGAUAACUUCGGGAAACCGGAGCUAAUGCCGGAUAAUAUUUUGAACCGCAUGGUUCAAAAGUGAAAGACGGUCUUGCUGUCACUUAUAGAUGGAUCCGCGCUGCAUUAGCUAGUUGGUAAGGUAACGGCUUACCAAGGCAACGAUGCAUAGCCGACCUGAGAGGGUGAUCGGCCACACUGGAACUGAGACACGGUCCAGACUCCUACGGGAGGCAGCAGUAGGGAAUCUUCCGCAAUGGGCGAAAGCCUGACGGAGCAACGCCGCGUGAGUGAUGAAGGUCUUCGGAUCGUAAAACUCUGUUAUUAGGGAAGAACAUAUGUGUAAGUAACUGUGCACAUCUUGACGGUACCUAAUCAGAAAGCCACGGCUAACUACGUG